Long non-coding RNA from Austrofundulus limnaeus, 784 nucleotides. RefSeq lists it as uncharacterized. The transcript is spliced from 2 exons. NCBI's taxonomy places the organism in Eukaryota, Metazoa, Chordata, Actinopteri, Cyprinodontiformes, Rivulidae. The record is from RefSeq and is a predicted model, not a curated record.
UACAAGGUCAACUACAUUCCUGAGGACCCCAUUUUCAAAUCUUCAGCUCUACUGCAUGCUUCAAGAUCACCAAAGCUCCUCUAUGGUUAGGCAGYGGCUAUCUGUGGAGGAGAGAAGGAGAAGAAAUAGAAAUGGAAAAGGAGGAAAGUGAACAAGAGCCAAUGGAGGAAGAGUUAUUGAUCAAAUGUGGUCCUGCUGGGACUGGGACAGAUUCGUCUGCUGAUGUAGUUCAUUGUGGAGGUUGGCUUGCCGUCAUUUAUGACCAGAMCUGGUGGUUAGCAAAGGCUGUCACCGUGGAUGUUCAUCACCAAGAUGUGGAAGUGGAGUUUUUCCAUCCUCAUGGGCCCAACACACAAUUCUACCCAAAAAGAGGUGGAAAGGUGCUUCAAACCAUUUGACCACAUUCUGGUCAAACUUGUGGAACCAUCAUCGCCGGGUCGUGCAAGCAAGACAAGGGAGAUAUACAACCUGUCUGCUGAAGUCAUGGACUUCAUAGAAGAGAAACAUUUACACCAUAUUCUUCUUAAUGAAGUUAAAUGACUUGUGGRAUAAUGGUAAACAUUCAGGAGUUCAAAUAUAGAUUGUUUUGACGUGUUUUGAGGUAGAAUGCUUUCUGUAUUUUGAAACGUUUAAGUUUAUGCAAAAGAGACUAAGACAAAAGGUGUUCAUUUAUCUGUUCCUCAUGUACAGAUUUGUUCCUUACAUUCCUUAAAAACUGUUCAUGACAGUGCUCAGGAUUUGUUAUUUUUUGUACCAAAUACUUAAAUAAAGUUGUUAAGCAAGA